GUUGAUCGUAAAAUACAGGUCUUGCAGUAGUGAAUGGAGGAUAACCAGAGUGGGGAUUUGCACUAGUAAUUUCUACAUUAACUGCGUGAUCCCUAUAGUUGUAAUUAUUGUGGUGAGGAUCCGGUUUGUCAUAUGAUUGUAAAGGUCUCGUUUGAAUAGGCGGAAUAUUUGCAGAGUGCUGGUUA
This is a long non-coding RNA of Aedes aegypti (yellow fever mosquito), 185 nucleotides long. RefSeq lists it as uncharacterized. The transcript has 2 exons. Lineage: Eukaryota; Metazoa; Arthropoda; Insecta; Diptera; Culicidae. The record is from RefSeq and is a predicted model, not a curated record.